This 932-nucleotide ribosomal RNA is filed under the name Thysanozoon brocchii. RNAcentral describes it as "partial large subunit ribosomal RNA". It matches the Rfam family "Eukaryotic large subunit ribosomal RNA", at positions 104 to 846 of the family's 3401-position model. The record is from RNAcentral. Lineage: Eukaryota; Metazoa; Platyhelminthes; Polycladida; Pseudocerotidae.
GAGCCCAGCACCGAAUCCUUCACCAUCUCGGUGACAGGNNAUGUGGUGUUUAGGCCGUACCUUGUCCCGACACGUCUCUCCUCAAGUCCACUUGAUUGUGGCCCCAGGCCCAGAGAGGGUGUAAGGCCCGUGGAGGCGAGACGUUCGGUACCUGGUGCGUCCUUAGAGUCGGGUUGUUUGGGAAUGCAGCCCUAAGCGGGUGGUAAACUCCAUCCAAGGCUAAAUACCAGCACGAGUCCGAUAGCGAAGAAGUACCGCGAGGGAAGGUUGAAAAGAACUUUGAAGAGAGAGUUCAAGAGUACGUGAAACCGCUGAGAGGCAAACUGGUGGAACUGAAAUGGUCCCGAGGAAUUCAGCCGUUGGUCGUUGCACAGUCUUUGGUGAUUGAUCUAACGACGGCGCCAUUGAAUGACGUUUCGAUCAUCGGUGCACUUUCCUCGCCUGGGCCCGACCACGACCGGUGAGCUGAUCUGUCUGUCGUGCUUGGAAGAUAGCGCCGUCUUCGGAAGGCGUGUUAUAGACAGGCAUACGGAGCAGUCGGCGCACUGGAUGAUAGUGCCUGCCCAUCUGGGCUCAUAUGGUGGUUGUUUUGUUGGCGAGUUCUGAUGUCACUACUUCGGUAGAGUCGUUAGACUCUGUUGGCAUUAUGGCUGUCCUCUAUGAUUGGCACUGUUAAGUCUGUGGUUGUGAAGUAGGUAGUCCACCUGACCCGUCUUGAAACACGGACCAAGGAGUCUAACAUGUGCGCGAGUCAUUGGGUUCACGAAACCUAAAGGCGCAGUGAAGGUAAAGAUCUGUUUUGGCAGAUUGAGGUGGGAUGCCGGGUUACGCGCCCGGCCGCACUACCGGCCCGUUCUAUAUGUCUUUCAUAGGAGCGGAGCAAGAGCGUACACGUUGGGACCCGAAAGAUGGUGAACUAUGCUUGCGCAGGU